AGAGUUUGAUCCUGGCUCAGGAUGAACGCUGGCGGCGUGCAUAACACAUUCAAGUCGAACGGGGUAAAGUGCUCCGGUACUUUACCAAGUGGCGGACGGGUGAGUAACGCGUGAGCAACCUGCCCCUAUGUUCGGGAUACCAACCGGAAACAGUUGUUAAUACCGAAUGACAUAACGGGAUUGCAUGGUCCUGUUAUCAAAGAUUUAUUGCAUAGGGAUGGGCUCGCGUCUGAUUAGGCAGUUGGUGAGGUAACGGCUCACCAAACCGACGAUCAGUAGCCGGACUGAGAGGUUGAACGGCCACAUUGGAACUGAGAUACGGUCCAGACUCCUACGGGAGGCAGCAGUGGGGAAUAUUGCACAAUGGGGGAAACCCUGAUGCAGCGACGCCGCGUGGAGGAAGAAGGUCUUCGGAUUGUAAACUCCUGUUGUUGAGGAAGAUAAUGACGGUACUCAACAAGGAAGUGACGGCUAACUACGUGCCAGCAGCCGCGGUAAAACGUAGGUCACAAGCGUUGUCCGGAAUUACUGGGUGUAAAGGGAGCGCAGGCGGGAAGACAAGUUGGAAGUGAAAUCUAUGGGCUCAACCCAUAAACUGCUUUCAAAACUGUUUUUCUUGAGUAGUGCAGAGGUAGGCGGAAUUCCCGGUGUAGCGGUGGAAUGCGUAGAUAUCGGGAGGAACACCAGUGGCGAAGGCGGCCUACUGGGCACCAACUGACGCUGAGGCUCGAAAGUGUGGGUAGCAAACAGGAUUAGAUACCCUGGUAGUCCACACCGUAAACGAUGAUUACUAGGUGUUGGAGGAUUGACCCCUUCAGUGCCGCAGUUAACACAAUAAGUAAUCCACCUGGGGAGUACGACCGCAAGGUUGAAACUCAAAGGAAUUGACGGGGGCCCGCACAAGCAGUGGAGUAUGUGGUUUAAUUCGACGCAACGCGAAGAACCUUACCAAGUCUUGACAUCCUGCGACGAUGCUGGAAACAGUAUUUUCCUUCGGGACGCAGAGACAGGUGGUGCAUGGUUGUCGUCAGCUCGUGUCGUGAGAUGUUGGGUUAAGUCCCGCAACGAGCGCAACCCUUACUGUCAGUUACUACGCAAGAGGACUCUGGCAGGACUGCCGUUGACAAAACGGAAGAAGGUGGGGACGACGUCAAAUCAUCAUGCCCCUUAUGUCCUGGGCUACACGCGUGCUACAAUGGCUAAGACAAAGGGAAGCGAAGCCGCGAGGCGGAGCCAACCCCAUAAAAGUCGUCCCAGUUCGGACUGCGGCUGCAACCCGCCUGCACGAAGUUGGAAUUGCUAGUAAUCGCGGAUCAGCAUGCCGCGGUGAAUACGUUCCC
This 1340-nucleotide ribosomal RNA is filed under the name metagenome. RNAcentral describes it as "bacterial SSU rRNA". It matches the Rfam family "Bacterial small subunit ribosomal RNA", at positions 8 to 1375 of the family's 1533-position model. The record is from RNAcentral.